AUGGAGUUAGCUCAUUGAUUUAGAAUUUUCUCAGAAUUGAUUCAAGACUUUUAGUUUUGUUUUUAAUAUUGACUUUGUCAGACAGUUAUUUUUUUUUGAACACUGAGUUUUGAUUUGUUAUUUGAACUAAGAUUUGAUUAUUAAAUAUUAAAAAAUUUAUUUAACUGUUUGUGAAGAUAUCAUGAUGAGAUGCCUUGCAUGCUUA
RNAcentral lists this long non-coding RNA (205 nucleotides) under Elaeis guineensis (African oil palm). RNAcentral describes it as "long non-coding RNA (EGUI_LNC046953)". The record is from RNAcentral. Lineage: Eukaryota; Viridiplantae; Streptophyta; Magnoliopsida; Arecales; Arecaceae.